RNAcentral lists this transfer RNA (74 nucleotides) under Pangasianodon gigas (Mekong giant catfish). RNAcentral's name for it is "tRNA-Thr". It matches the Rfam family "tRNA". Rfam says of the family: Transfer RNA (tRNA) molecules are approximately 80 nucleotides in length. Their secondary structure includes four short double-helical elements and three loops (D, anti-codon, and T loops). The record is from RNAcentral. Lineage: Eukaryota; Metazoa; Chordata; Actinopteri; Siluriformes; Pangasiidae.
GGUGCUGUGGCUCAGUUGGUUGAAGUGCCUGCCUAGUAAACAGGAGAUCCUGGGUCCAAAUCCCAGCAGUACCU